RNAcentral lists this long non-coding RNA (887 nucleotides) under Solanum tuberosum (potato). Its description in RNAcentral is "long non-coding RNA (STUB_LNC002473)". The record is from RNAcentral. Lineage: Eukaryota; Viridiplantae; Streptophyta; Magnoliopsida; Solanales; Solanaceae.
CCGUUCCUGUUUACAAACCAAAACCAAAGCCUCCUCCAGUUCCCGUCUACAAGCCCAAGCCUAAGCCACCUCCAGUUCCUACUUACAAGCCCAAACCAGAGCCUCCAGUUAAAAAACCAUGUCCCCCUUCAGUUCCAAAACCAAAGCCUCCUCCAGUUAAAAAACCAUGCCCCCCUAAAGUUCCAACUUACAAACCCAAGCCUAAACCAGAGCCACCAGUAGUAAAGCCACUUCCUCCACCAGUUCCAGUUUACAAGCCACCAGUAGUAAAACCCCUUCCACCACCUGUUCCAAUUUACAAAAAGCCAUGCCCACCAUUUCCACACCUUCCACCACUGCCACCAAUAGUGAAGCCACUUCCUCCUCCAGUUCCAGUUUACAAGCCACCAGUAGUAAAACCCCUUCCACCACCUGUUCCAAUUUACAAAAAGCCAUGCCCACCAUUUCCACACCUUCCACCACUGCCACCAAUAGUGAAGCCACUUCCUCCACCAGUUCCAGUUUACAAGCCACCAGUAGUAAAACCCCUUCCACCACCUGUUCCAAUUUACAAAAAGCCAUGCCCACCAUUUCCACACCUUCCACCACUGCCACCAAUAGUGAAGCCACUUCCUCCUCCAGUUCCAAUUUACGUGCCACCAGUAGUAAAACCCCUGCCACCACCCGUUCCAAUUUAUGAGCCACCAGUAGUAAAACCCCUGCCACCACCUGUUCCAAUUUACAAGCCACCAUUUUACAAAAAGCCAUGCCCACCACUUCCACCAUUCCCUAAAAUUCCUCCCUUCCACCAUCCUCUCUUCCCACCACUUCCACCUAAAUUUCCUCACCCAUAGACCAAACAUUAAAUUCAAGAGUUCCUUUGGGUGUAUGUAGGGCUGAAUCUUUUU